RNAcentral lists this long non-coding RNA (208 nucleotides) under Lathyrus oleraceus (garden pea). RNAcentral describes it as "Pisum sativum (pea) long non-coding RNA (PSAT_LNC018677)". The record is from RNAcentral. Lineage: Eukaryota; Viridiplantae; Streptophyta; Magnoliopsida; Fabales; Fabaceae.
AUCAAUCUUUUGAAAAAUAGAAGAUUAUAUUACUCAAAUAAUUAUGAUCUGUUUUCUUUCUUUUGUUUUUACUUUUUUUUUUUAGCAAGAUAGUAAGAGAAUAAAUAAAUUAGCAUAAUGUAAAUGAUAUAUGGUUAGAUAAUAAUGGACAUAAACAUAAAGUACUUGAAAUAAAAUGAGAAAUAAAAUAAAUUAUGAGCAAAUAAAU